UACGUAGGGGGCAAGCGUUGUCCGGAUUUAUUGGGCGUAAAGAGCGUGUCGGCGGCCAGGUAGGUCUGCUGUGAAAACUCGAGGCUUAACCUCGAGCUGUCGGCGGAAACCAUCUGGCUAGAGUCCGGAAGAGGAGAAUGGAAUUCCCGGUGUAGCGGUGAAAUGCGCAGAGCUCGGGAAGAACAUCGGUGGCGAAAGCGCUCUGCUGGACUGCAACUGACACUCAGGGACGAAAGCUAGGGGAGCGAAUGGG
RNAcentral lists this ribosomal RNA (253 nucleotides) under uncultured bacterium. Its description in RNAcentral is "partial 16S ribosomal RNA". It matches the Rfam family "Bacterial small subunit ribosomal RNA", at positions 524 to 776 of the family's 1533-position model. The record is from RNAcentral.